This 478-nucleotide ribosomal RNA is filed under the name Streptococcus sanguinis. Its description in RNAcentral is "bacterial SSU rRNA". It matches the Rfam family "Bacterial small subunit ribosomal RNA", at positions 28 to 489 of the family's 1533-position model. The record is from RNAcentral. Lineage: Bacteria; Bacillati; Bacillota; Bacilli; Lactobacillales; Streptococcaceae.
GACGAACGCUGGCGGCGUGCCUAAUACAUGCAAGUAGAACGCUGAAGAGAGGAGCUUGCUCUUCUUGGAUGAGUUGCGAACGGGUGAGUAACGCGUAGGUAACCUGCCUGGUAGCGGGGGAUAACUAUUGGAAACGAUAGCUAAUACCGCAUGAUAUUAAUUGUCGCAUGAUAAUUAAUUGAAAGAUGCAAUUGCAUCACUACCAGAUGGACCUGCGUUGUAUUAGCUAGUUGGUGAGGUAACGGCUCACCAAGGCGACGAUACAUAGCCGACCUGAGAGGGUGAUCGGCCACACUGGGACUGAGACACGGCCCAGACUCCUACGGGAGGCAGCAGUAGGGAAUCUUCGGCAAUGGGGGGAACCCUGACCGAGCAACGCCGCGUGAGUGAAGAAGGUUUUCGGAUCGUAAAGCUCUGUUGUAAGAGAAGAACGGGUGUGAGAGUGGAAAGUUCACACUGUGACGGUAUCUACCAGAAA